This 364-nucleotide long non-coding RNA is filed under the name Mytilus galloprovincialis (Mediterranean mussel). The record is from RNAcentral. Lineage: Eukaryota; Metazoa; Mollusca; Bivalvia; Mytilida; Mytilidae.
CUUUAAAUAUCUUAUCAAUUGAGUAUAUGAACUUUUGUAAUUGCUUUUCUGAAUUCUACAAUUGACCAGUCCAAUUUGAAAUCCAUUUGAAUCAAGGUAAAUUUAUAGAGAUGACCUUCUGUUGAAAAAAUACCCGAUGAAUGAUUUUUUCAGUGGUUCAUGUUAGCUGAAAUAUAUGUGUUUGUAAUAAGCCUAGGUGACUAUAGCUAAGAUGAUAGACUAGUGCAUCAUGUUCAAUGAUAUUCAUGUAAUAACAGUAGCCCAUCCAGAAUUAUUCAAACUGUUACAACUUACAUGAAAACCAGUGUACAGGUUAAACUUAAUAAUAUACAUUUUCCGUUUUUACAGGAAAAUAAUGUUAUUU